This 21-nucleotide microRNA is filed under the name Callorhinchus milii (elephant shark). Its description in RNAcentral is "eshark_NOVEL_6". Lineage: Eukaryota; Metazoa; Chordata; Chondrichthyes; Chimaeriformes; Callorhinchidae. The record is from RNAcentral.
CGAGAAAGUACUGUACAUAGA